Molecule: ribosomal RNA, 425 nt
Filed under: Salmonella enterica
Lineage: Bacteria; Pseudomonadati; Pseudomonadota; Gammaproteobacteria; Enterobacterales; Enterobacteriaceae
Also listed under: 2 other names
Description: partial 23S ribosomal RNA
Rfam family: Bacterial large subunit ribosomal RNA
Source: RNAcentral
GAAUGCUGACAUAAGUAACGAUAAAGCGGGUGAAAAGCCCGCUCGCCGGAAGACCAAGGGUUCCUGUCCAACGUUAAUCGGGGCAGGGUGAGUCGACCCCUAAGGCGAGGCCGAAAGGCGUAGUCGAUGGGAAACGGGUUAAUAUUCCCGUACUUGGUGUUACUGCGAAGGGGGGACGGAGAAGGCUAUGUUGGCCGGGCGACGGUUGUCCCGGUUUAAGCGUGUAGGUGUGUGUUCCAGGUAAAUCCGGUUCACUUUAACACUGAGGCGUGACGACGAGGCACUACGGUGCUGAAGCAACAAAUGCCCUGCUUCCAGGAAAAGCCUCUAAGCAUCAGGUAACACGAAAUCGUACCCCAAACCGACACAGGUGGUCAGGUAGAGAAUACCAAGGCGCUUGAGAGAACUCGGGUGAAGGAACUAGG